This is a non-coding RNA of Meleagris gallopavo (turkey), 358 nucleotides long. Lineage: Eukaryota; Metazoa; Chordata; Aves; Galliformes; Phasianidae. The record is from RefSeq and is a predicted model, not a curated record.
ACAGAAAUGAGAGCGUGGCAGAAACAGCUGAGAAUCCAGCACACGGCAACGUGCUCGUGGCGGCCAAAUGACUGGAGCUCCAGGGCCAGGCAGAGCACGUGGCAGCACAGAGCACGUGGCAGCACAGAUGACGUCGGCCGGGUUCCUGGAGCCUUUAUGCUGUCACAGUGCGUUGCCACGAGGACAGAGGGCCCCUGCCCAAGGACGGCUGGCAGCUGGGUCCAGGCACCUCCUGUGUGAGCUGCGCUGCCCGCAGCCGCUCGCCAUGCCCUGUGCCUCAGAGCAGCCCCGGCAGCAGACAAGCUCAGCCUCGUCCCGCUCUGGGUUGCGGUGAAGUGUUACCGUUUGGUGCGAUUGG